Molecule: long non-coding RNA, 271 nt
Filed under: Citrus x clementina
Lineage: Eukaryota; Viridiplantae; Streptophyta; Magnoliopsida; Sapindales; Rutaceae
Description: Citrus clementina (C. clementina) long non-coding RNA (CCLE_LNC004475)
Source: RNAcentral
AUUUAUAAAAUAUUUUAAAAUAAAUAGCUUGUUAUUGUCAACCAAUUUCACAUUGGAUUCUCUUGCUUGCUUCUGCUCUUCAUUCAUAAACUGAUUUUAUAUUUUCCAAUUAUCGUUAAAGCUGAAUUAUUAUUGGUGCAUGGUGGGUCAACGAGAGCUUGUUAUUGUCAGCCAAUUUCACAUUGGAUUCUCUUGCUUGCUUUUGCUCUUCAUUCAUAAACUGAUUUUAUCUUUUCCAAUUAUCGUUAAACACUAUUACUUAACUUUAUAA